CAUUAGUUUUACAAUAUUUUUCUUUGUGGACUCUUAGUCCGUUUUUGCAAGUGUUCAUGAAGAGUGCGGCGCGCGUGGAGAGGAGGUUGGCCCCGAGACGUGCGGCGCCUGGAAUCCUGCUGGAGGCGUAGAGGCUGUGGCGGCUAGGGCGUAUGGUGCUAGAGUUGCUGCUAUAUUUUAGUUAAUGGGCUAUUGGGGUUUGGGCUAAUUGUUUUUUAGGUUUAAUAUUAUUGGGCCUGUAAAACACUAGACUGUUUAUUUGGGUUUUUUGGUUUGGGUUCUGCAUGCAGGCCCGGGCUAAUUG
RNAcentral lists this long non-coding RNA (304 nucleotides) under Gossypium raimondii (Peruvian cotton). RNAcentral's name for it is "long non-coding RNA (GRAI_LNC004210)". Lineage: Eukaryota; Viridiplantae; Streptophyta; Magnoliopsida; Malvales; Malvaceae. The record is from RNAcentral.